This 377-nucleotide long non-coding RNA is filed under the name Medicago truncatula (barrel medic). Its description in RNAcentral is "long non-coding RNA (MTRU_LNC007629)". The record is from RNAcentral. Lineage: Eukaryota; Viridiplantae; Streptophyta; Magnoliopsida; Fabales; Fabaceae.
UGAUAUCAAAUUAUGAACCCUAAAUUUAGAAAUUUCUUAUUCUUCAGACAUCAAUUCCUCUUUUCAGUCCAAAAUCAGACUAUGAAAUAGAAAUCAAAGAUUUGGAGGAGAAAAAUAUGAAAAUUCUUACUGGCUUUGGCAUAUCCUAAAUCCAUUUCUUAUGCAACCAAACAUCAGCUUCCAUCAAAUUAAAAGUAUUAUCAAACAAUUCAAGAAGGGUUUAAUUUUAUGAACACAUCAAUUCCCUCAUUUCAUUUCACGCCAUGAUUGUGCUAAGAAUGGAACUUCCAUGUCAGAUAUUAUAGAGACUUUGAUGAAUAAAUGAGAUUUUGUAAAAGAGAUUUUGUUUAACAGAAGAAGAAAUUUGUUAAUUGUAG